RNAcentral lists this transfer RNA (69 nucleotides) under Ixias pyrene. RNAcentral describes it as "tRNA-Glu". Lineage: Eukaryota; Metazoa; Arthropoda; Insecta; Lepidoptera; Pieridae. The record is from RNAcentral.
AUUUAUAUAGUUUAAACUUAAAACUUUACAUUUUCAAUGUAAAAAUAAAAUAUUAUAUUUUUAUAAAUA